UUCUUCUUUGAUACGAAUGCCUUCUAUUCACUGCACCAUUUACUUAUCAAUGAAUGAGUGGAGGGGAAAAGAAUGCUAGAACAAACCUUUCGACAACGUCCUCAUACUAAGUAUGCGACAAUUAAAAGGCAUUAUCUUGGAUUCUGCGUUUUCGAAAUAUUU
Molecule: small nucleolar RNA, 162 nt
Filed under: Spathaspora passalidarum NRRL Y-27907
Lineage: Eukaryota; Fungi; Ascomycota; Pichiomycetes; Serinales; Debaryomycetaceae
Description: Small nucleolar RNA snR8
Rfam family: Small nucleolar RNA snR8
Source: Rfam by way of RNAcentral